This 1467-nucleotide ribosomal RNA is filed under the name Triticum aestivum (bread wheat). RNAcentral's name for it is "partial small subunit ribosomal RNA". The record is from RNAcentral. Lineage: Eukaryota; Viridiplantae; Streptophyta; Magnoliopsida; Poales; Poaceae.
AUGCCCGUCUCCGCCUUCCUGUCCCUGGACCCCGCGGCGUACCUCCUCCCCGCCGCGCGGCCGCGGCCGCGCCCGCCGGCGCCGCGCUUACGGUUACGUCGGGUGGUGGUGCUCAGGGCCGCCUCCGUCUCCGCCGUCGCGGAGGAGUCCUCUGCCGCCGCGGCCGCGCGGGGCCGGCUCGAGUCGCUCAGCCAGGUGGCCGGCGUGCUCGGCACCCAGUGGGGGGACGAGGGCAAGGGCAAGCUCGUCGACAUCCUCGCCCAGCGCUUCGACGUCGUCGCCCGCUGCCAGGGUGGAGCCAAUGCUGGGCAUACCAUAUACAAUUCCGAGGGGAAGAAGUUCUCACUGCACCUCGUUCCAUCGGGGAUCCUCAACGAGAACACGCAGUGUGUGAUUGGUAACGGGGCAGUGGUUCACCUCCCCGGGUUCUUCAAAGAAAUCGAUGGGCUGGAGUCCAACGGAGUUUCAUGCAAAGGGAGAAUUCUGGUGUCAGAUCGCGCCCAUCUUCUGUUUGAUUUUCAUCAAGUUGUUGAUGGACUCCGAGAGGUAGAGCUCGGGAAUUCCUUCAUAGGAACGACAAAGAGGGGGAUCGGGCCAUGCUAUUCGAACAAAGUCAUCAGGAACGGGCUCAGGGUCAGUGAUCUGCGGCAUAUGGACACCUUCGGUGCCAAGCUUAACACCCUGCUGAAAGAUGCAGCUACGCGGUUCAAAGGAUUUGAAUAUAGCAGCAAGACCCUCAAAGAGGAGGUCGAGAAGUACGAACGGUUUGCCGAACGUCUGGGACCUUACAUAACUGAUACUGUGCAUUUCAUGAAUGAGUCGAUCUUGCAGAAGAAGAAAAUAUUGGUUGAAGGUGGUCAGGCUACCAUGUUAGACAUUGACUUUGGUACAUAUCCAUUUGUUACCUCCUCAAGUCCUUCAGCUGGGGGGAUCUGUACUGGCCUCGGCAUUGCUCCAAGAACCCUCGGCGAUAUCAUCGGAGUGGUAAAAGCUUAUACAACCAGGGUUGGAUCUGGCCCAUUCCCAACGGAGCUGUUGGGCAAGACCGGUGAUUUGCUCCGUGCAUCGGGAAUGGAGUUCGGGACCACAACAGGUCGGCCCAGGCGUUGUGGCUGGCUCGAUAUAGUCGCGCUCAGAUACUGCUGCCAGAUCAACGGCUUCUCAUCCCUGAACCUGACGAAACUCGACGUGCUGACCGGGCUGAAGGAGAUCAAGCUGGGCACUUCCUACUGCACCGAAGAUGGCAAAGCGAUCGACUCGUUCCCGGCAGACCUCGAUCUUCUGGAGCAAACGAAGGUCAAGUACGAGGCCCUGCCUGGGUGGGAGGAGGACAUUUCCUCGGUGCGGGACUACGAUGAUCUCCCGGAGACCGCUCGUCUGUACGUGGAGAGGAUAGAGGAGCUGGUUGGUAUCCCUGUCCAUUACAUCGGUGUCGGACCCGGGCGGGACGCCCUUAUAUACAAAUAG